Molecule: long non-coding RNA, 284 nt
Organism: Diceros bicornis minor
Lineage: Eukaryota; Metazoa; Chordata; Mammalia; Perissodactyla; Rhinocerotidae
Exons: 3
Source: RefSeq, a predicted model, not a curated record
AGCAUACGUGGUGUUUCUAGGAACAGCAAAGAAGCCAGUGCAGCUGGACCACAACAGGCUCUAUAAUCACAGUGACAUUCUGAAAGAAGACCUUGAAGCCUGUGGAACAGCUGUCCUUCACCAGCCUCCGAGACUCUUACCUGGAGGUGGCAGCCAUGAAAAGCAAGUCAGAUCUGAACAAGCGUCAGCCUCAGGCUUGUUGAGGGCACAGUUGGGUCAGCACAUGGCCACCUUGAAAGAACGUGAUAAUUCUAUCACAGAAGAGGUAGCUAAGAAGUCUGAAG